This 251-nucleotide ribosomal RNA is filed under the name uncultured bacterium. RNAcentral describes it as "partial 16S ribosomal RNA". It matches the Rfam family "Bacterial small subunit ribosomal RNA", at positions 524 to 776 of the family's 1533-position model. The record is from RNAcentral.
UACGUAGGUGGCAAGCGUUGUCCGGAAUUAUUGGGCGUAAAGCGCGCGCAGGCGGUCCUUUAAGUCUGAUGUGAAAGCCCACGGCUCAACCGUGGAGGGUCAUUGGAAACUGGGGACUUGAGUACAGAAGAGGAAAGCGGAAUUCCACGUGUAGCGGUGAAAUGCGUAGAGAUGUGGAGGAACACCAGUGGCGAAGGCGGCUUCUGGUCUGUAACUGACGCUGAGGCGCGAAAGCGUGGGGAGCAAACAGG